Erythranthe guttata (spotted monkey flower) is the source of this 525-nucleotide non-coding RNA. The record is from RefSeq and is a predicted model, not a curated record. NCBI's taxonomy places the organism in Eukaryota, Viridiplantae, Streptophyta, Magnoliopsida, Lamiales, Phrymaceae.
GAUUAUUUACGAGUAGCGUGAGAAAACACUGCAAUUAGUUGGCUCUUCGGUCACCUACUCUAACAAUAACAUUCAAAGAGAUAUCUACUUGAAUUCCGAUUUCACUGAUUUAAGUUUUGUUUAAUAGAGAAAACAUCGACCCACCGUUAUGUGUUUGAUGAUGCUCGGCUGUCGAUUGCUCAACUGAAGAGUUGUUUUAGCCCAAGAGAGUAUAUAAUGUUGACAGUCAUUGCCGCAUGUGUGAGGUAGUCGAAGAGGAGAACACCGCUCGUUAACCUGCAAAAUAAAUCAUGAAAAAUUCUAGGUGACACGCAACGGGUGGCUCGACACUUAUCCUCCGACACUCACUCCGAAAUCGGUUGGAGAGUAUAAGCAAUCAAACCUUUAACUUUUGAAAAUAGAACUUUGAUUCAUAUGCAAAUGAACUCGAUUAUUUAUAGGUAAUGAAGUAGAAUAUUUCAAUUGUGACACUAACGUGAACAAGAAACAUAAGGUAUUUCCGAAAGACAACUAUCUUAUCCUAGA